GUGAGCUUUAUUUAAAGAAGUAGCAAUAUCAAAACCAUUUUCUCGCCUGUAUAAUUCAAGGUCCCAACAGAAAAUAGAUGGACAGUCAAGUUAAACUAACUCAGGAAGAAUUUAUUUACAAAGGAACUCAUUACAAAAGUGGAAGAACCAUAAGGAAUUGUGCAGGAACCUGGGUCUAGUAAUAGAAUGGGAGAUACUAAAAGCCAGAAACAGAGAGAAUCGUCUAGAAAAGAACUCCCUGAGAGUGACUUAAAAAAAUGUUUUUUUAAUGUUUACUUAUUUUUGAAAGAGAGAGAGAGAGAGAGAUAGCAUGAGCAGGGGAGGGGCAGAGAGAGAGAGACACACACAGAAUGGGAAGCAGGCUCCAGGCUCCAAGCUGUCAGCACAGAGCUCGAAACAGGGCUUGAACUAACGAGCUGUGAUAUCAUGACCUGAUCAUAAGUUGGGUGCUCAACAGACUGAGCCACCCAGGUGCCCUGGAGAGUGACUUUUGAUGAAGGUACUAGCCAGCCUGAGGCAAACUGCCUAAGUAGGGAGCUGACAAGUGCCCUCACUCUUCUCUCUCUGAUGUCCAUGAUGACUCCCCCUUUUCCUCCUUGACCUAACCUAAUCAGAAGCCAGAAGUUUGGGAACCUACAGACAGUAGGAACCUACAUAGCGUACAGAGGUUGAGAACAGGCAGAGAACAGGAGGAAGGUAAAUCGGGAGGGAGAAAUGGAAGAUUUCUGACACUUUGCCUUUGGAAUGGCCGUGUGAGAGAAUGUGGAUGCGGAUUUCUUCCAGGCAAUUCAGUGUUUGAAACGUCACAAUUCUCCAGAGAAGCCAGUGCAUGAGAAACAUGAAGCUUACCAGUAUCCUUCCUAAAAGCUCACAAAACCAGGAUGACCAGAUAGUAAUAACCAAGAAAAUAAAGAGCAGCAUUUCAUUUCAACUGAGGAUCUCAAAAGACCCUCAGAAACACUGCACAGUGCCAGAAGAUGGACUUGAAUAAAGCCACACAAUGAGUGAG
This 1009-nucleotide long non-coding RNA is filed under the name Felis catus (domestic cat). RNAcentral's name for it is "lncRNA (ENSFCAG00000048085.1)". The record is from RNAcentral. Lineage: Eukaryota; Metazoa; Chordata; Mammalia; Carnivora; Felidae.